RNAcentral lists this ribosomal RNA (492 nucleotides) under uncultured bacterium. Its description in RNAcentral is "partial 16S ribosomal RNA". It matches the Rfam family "Bacterial small subunit ribosomal RNA", at positions 29 to 507 of the family's 1533-position model. The record is from RNAcentral.
AGUGAACGCUGGCGGUAGGCCUAACACAUGCAAGUCGAACGGCAGCACAGUAAGAGCUUGCUCUUACGGGUGGCGAGUGGCGGACGGGUGAGGAAUACAUCGGAAUCUACUUUUUCGUGGGGGAUAACGUAGGGAAACUUACGCUAAUACCGCAUACGACCUACGGGUGAAAGCAGGGGAUCUUCGGACCUUGCGCGAUUGAAUGAGCCGAUGUCGGAUUAGCUAGUUGGCGGGGUAAAGGCCCACCAAGGCGACGAUGCGUAGCUGGUCUGAGAGGAUGAUCGGCCACCCUGGAACUGAGACACGGUCCAGACUCCUACGGGAGGCAGCAGUGGGGAAUAUUGGACAAUGGGCGCAAGCCUGAUCCAGCCAUACCGCGUGGGUGAAGAAGGCCUUCGGGUUGUAAAGCCCUUUUGUUGGGAAAGAAAAGCAGCAGGUUAAUACCUCGCUGUUCUGACGGUAGCCAGAGAAUAAGCACCGGCUAACUUCGUG